Molecule: ribosomal RNA, 492 nt
Filed under: uncultured bacterium
Lineage: Bacteria
Description: partial 16S ribosomal RNA
Rfam family: Bacterial small subunit ribosomal RNA
Source: RNAcentral
AGUGAACGCUGGCGGUAGGCCUAACACAUGCAAGUCGAACGGCAGCACAGUAAGUGCUUGCUCUUACGGGUGGCGAGUGGCGUACGGGUGAGGAAUAUAUCGGAAUCUACUUUUUCGUGUGGGGUAACGUAGGGAAAGUUACGCUAAUAUCGCAUACGAUCUACGGGUGUAAGCAGUGGAACUUCUCACCUUGUGCGGUUGAAUGCGCCGAUGUCGGGUUAGUUAGUUGGCGGGGUAAAGGCCCACCCAGGGGACGAUCGGGAGCUGGUGAGUGUGGAGGAUCGGCCGCACUGGAAGUGGAACACGGACCAUGCGCCUAAGGGAGGCAGCAGUGUGCAAUAUGGGACAAUGGGGGCAAGCCUGAUCCAGCCAUACCGCGUGGGUGAAGGAGGCCUUCGGUUUGUAAAGCCGUUUUGUUGGUAAAGAAAAGCAGCAGGUUAAUACCCCGCGUGUCUGACGGUACCCAAAGAAUAAGCACCGGCUAACUUCGUG